GACGAACGCUGGCGGCGUGCUUAACACAUGCAAGUCGAACGGAAAGGCCCUGCUUUUGUGGGGUGCUCGAGUGGCGAACGGGUGAGUAACACGUGAGUAACCUGCCCUUUACUUUGGGAUACCUUCAGGAAACUGGGGCUAAUACCGGAUAUGAGCUCCUGCUGCAUGGUGUGCGUCGGAAAGUUUCGGCGGUUGGGGCUGUACUCGCGGCUUAUCGGCUUGUUGGUGGGGUAGUGGCUUACCAAGGCUUUGACGGGUAGCCGGCCUGAGAGGGUGACCGGCCACAUUGGGACUGAGGUACGGCGCAGACUCCUACGGGAGGCAGCAGUGGGGAAUAUUGCACAAUGGGCGGAAGCGUGAUGCAGAGACGCCGCGUGCGGGAUGACGGCCUUCGGGUUGUAAACCGCUUUCGCCUGUGACGAAGCGUGAGUGACGGUAAUGGGUAAAGAAGCACCGGCUAACUACGUG
Molecule: ribosomal RNA, 468 nt
Filed under: uncultured bacterium
Lineage: Bacteria
Description: partial 16S ribosomal RNA
Rfam family: Bacterial small subunit ribosomal RNA
Source: RNAcentral